UAAAAAAUUAUUUGGCUAGCCAUGUUCAAGUUUAGAAGUGGAUGCUCAUGGACUGGACGACAUAAUUAUAUAAUCGUUCAUGAUAAAAGAAGAUAUUUGGGGCAAAAGUAAAUGUUCAUGUUCUAGCUGUGGCUAGGGGUUCGUGGCAGUGAUUCUUACCUAUGCUCUCCGUGGUCCUUCAUAACAUUGCCUCUCUCUCCUAUGUUGAUCUUGAGAUCUGGGAGCUCAUCGAUGGCUCUUGCUCUUCCCACCUCACCCGC
RNAcentral lists this long non-coding RNA (260 nucleotides) under Elaeis guineensis (African oil palm). RNAcentral describes it as "long non-coding RNA (EGUI_LNC027402)". Lineage: Eukaryota; Viridiplantae; Streptophyta; Magnoliopsida; Arecales; Arecaceae. The record is from RNAcentral.